UCUGAAUAGGGCGCUUAGUCAGAUGCUGCAGACCCGAAACGAAGUGAUCUAUCCAUGAGCAAGUUGAAGCUAGUGUAAGAACUAGUGGAGGACUGAACCCAUAGGCGUUGAAAAGCCCCGGGAUGACUUGUGGAUAGGGGUGAAAGGCCAAUCAAACUUCGUGAUAGCUGGUUCUCUCCGAAAUAUAUUUAGGUAUAGCGUUGUGUCGUAAUAUAAGGGGGUAGAGCACUGAAUGGGCUAGGGCAUACACCAAUGUACCAAACCCUAUCAAACUCCGAAUACCUUAUAUGUAAUCACAGCAGUCAGGCGGCGAGUGAUAAAAUCCGUCGUCAAGAGGGAAACAACCCAGACUACCAGCUAAGGUCCCUAAAUCUUACUUAAGUGGAAAACGAUGUGAAGUUACUUAAACAACCAGGAGGUUGGCUUAGAAGCAGCCAUCCUUUAAAGAAAGCGUAAUAGCUCACUGGUCUAGUGAUUUUGCGCGGAAAAUAUAACGGGGCUAAAGUAAGUACCGAAGCUGUAGACUUAGUUUACUAAGUGGUAGGAGAGCGUUCUAUUUGCGUCGAAGGUAUACCGGUAAGGAGUGCUGGAGCGAAUAGAAGUGAGCAUGCAGGCAUGAGUAGCGAUAAUUAAUGUGAGAAUCAUUAACGCCGUAAACCCAAGGUUUCCUACGCGAUGCUCGUCAUCGUAGGGUUAGUCGGGUCCUAAGUCGAGUCCGAAAGGGGUAGACGAUGGCAAAUUGGUUAAUAUUCCAAUACCAACAUUAGUGUGCGAUGGAAGGACGCUUAGGGCUAAGGGGGCUAGCGGAUGGAAGUGCUAGUCUAAGGUCGUAGGAGGUUAUACAGGCAAAUCCGUAUAACAAUACUCCGAGAACUGAAAGGCUUUUUGAAGUCUUCGGAUGGAUAGAAGAACCCCUGAUGCCAUCGAGCCAAGAAAAGUUUCUAAGUUUAGCUAAUGUUGCCCGUACCGUAAACCGACACAGGUGGGUGGGAUGAGUAUUCUAAGGCGCGUGGAAGAACUCUCUUUAAGGAACUCUGCAAAAUAGCACCGUAUCUUCGGUAUAAGGUGUGGUUCGCUUCGUAUUAGGAUUUACUCCGAAAGCGAAGAAACUUACAACAAAGAGUCCCUCCCGACUGUUUACCAAAAACACAGCACUCUGCUAACUCGUAAGAGGAUGUAUAGGGUGUGACGCCUGCCCGGUGCUCGAAGGUUAAUUGAUGGGGUUAGCAUUAGCGAAGCUCUUGAUCGAAGCCCGAGUAAACGGCGGCCGUAACUAUAACGGUCCUAAGGUAGCGAAAUUCCUUGUCGGUUAAAUACCGACCUGCAUGAAUGGCGUAACGAGAUGGGAGCUGUCUCAAAGAGGGAUCCAGUGAAAUUGUAGUGGAGGUGAAAAUUCCUCCUACCCGCGGCAAGACGGAAAGACCCCGUGGACCUUUACUACAGCUUGACACUGCUAUUUGGAUAAGAAUGUGCAGGAUAGGUGGGAGGCUUUGAGUAUAUGACGCCAGUUGUAUAUGAGCCAUUGUUGAGAUACCACUCUUUCUUAUUUGGGUAGCUAACCAGCUUGAGUUAUCCUCAAGUGGGACAAUGUCUGGUGGGUAGUUUGACUGGGGCGGUCGCCUCCCAAAUAAUAACGGAGGCUUACAAAGGUUGGCUCAGAACGGUUGGAAAUCGUUCGUAGAGUAUAAAGGUAUAAGCCAGCUUAACUGCAAGACAUACAAGUCAAGCAGAGACGAAAGUCGGUCUUAGUGAUCCGGUGGUUCUGCGUGGAAGGGCCAUCGCUCAAAGGAUAAAAGGUACCCCGGGGAUAACAGGCUGAUCUCCCCCAAGAGCUCACAUCGACGGGGAGGUUUGGCACCUCGAUGUCGGCUCAUCGCAUCCUGGGGCUGGAGCAGGUCCCAAGGGUAUGGCUGUUCGCCAUUUAAAGCGGUACGCGAGCUGGGUUCAGAACGUCGUGAGACAGUUCGGUCCCUAUCUGCCGUGGGCGUAAGAAGAUUGAAGAGAUUUGACCCUAGUACGAGAGGACCGGGUUGAACAAACCACUGGUGUAGCUGUUGUUCUGCCAAGAGCAUCGCAGCGUAGCUAAGUUUGGAAAGGAUAAACGCUGAAAGCAUCUAAGCGUGAAGCCAACUCUAAGAUGAAUCUUCUCUAAGCUCUCUAGAAGACUACUAGUUUGAUAGGCUGGGUGUGUAAUGGAUGAAAGUCCUUUAGCUGACCAGUACUAAUAGAGCGUUUGGCUUAUCUUUAAUAAAGCAU
Molecule: ribosomal RNA, 2256 nt
Filed under: Campylobacter coli
Lineage: Bacteria; Pseudomonadati; Campylobacterota; Epsilonproteobacteria; Campylobacterales; Campylobacteraceae
Description: partial 23S ribosomal RNA
Rfam family: Bacterial large subunit ribosomal RNA
Source: RNAcentral